AACGCACCUUGCGCUCCUUGGUAUUCUGAGGAGCAUGCCUGUUUGAGUGUCAUUUAAUUCUCAAACUUUACCUAGUUUGCAAAAACUAGAUCAGGUUUGGAGUCUGGAAGUUGCUGGCUUUUUUUUAAGCUAGCUCUUCUAAAAUAUAUUAGCAGAAUUAUUGCUACUCAAUAUGGUAUGAUAAUUAUCUAUACCGUUGAAAGUAAGCUUUCUGAUUUUGCUUCUAAUUGUCUACCAAGACAACCUUGAUACCUUUGACCUCAAAUCAGGUAGGACUACCCGCUGAACUUAA
Molecule: unclassified non-coding RNA, 292 nt
Filed under: uncultured fungus
Lineage: Eukaryota; Fungi
Description: sequence contains ITS2
Source: RNAcentral